RNAcentral lists this ribosomal RNA (1412 nucleotides) under Enterococcus sp. Its description in RNAcentral is "bacterial SSU rRNA". It matches the Rfam family "Bacterial small subunit ribosomal RNA". Lineage: Bacteria; Bacillati; Bacillota; Bacilli; Lactobacillales; Enterococcaceae. The record is from RNAcentral.
ACGCUUCUUUUUCACCGGGAGUUUGCUCACCGAAGAAGAGGAGGGUCAAACGGGUGAGUAACACGUGGGUAACCUGCGCAUCUGAAGGGGAUAACACUUGGCUACUGGCGCUAAUACCGUAUAACCAUCGGGACCGCAUGGGUUUGAUUUGAAAGGUGCUUUCGGGUGACGCUGAUGGAUGGACCCGCGUAGCAUUAGCUAGUUGGUGAGGUAACGGCUCACCAAGGCCACCAUGCUUAGCCGACCUGAGAGGGUGAUCGGACACAUUGGGACUGAGACACGGCCCAAACUCCUACGGGAGGCAAUCUUAGGGAAUCUUCGAAAAUGGACGAAAGUCUGACCGAGCAACGCCGCGAGAGUGAAGAAGGUUUUCGGAUCGUAAAACUCUGUUGUUAGAGAAGAACAAGGAUGAGAGUAACUGUUCAUCCCUUGACGGUAUCUAACCAGAAAGCCACGGCUAACUACGUGCCAGCAGCCGCGGUAAUACAUAGGUGGCAAGAGUUGUCCGGAUUUAUUGGGCGUAAAGCGAGCGCGCGGUUCUUAAGUACUGAUGUGAAAGCCCCCGGCUCACCGUUGGAGGGUCAUUGGAAACUGGGAGACUUGAGUGCAGAAGAGGAGAGUGGAAUUCCAUGUGUAGCGGGAAAUGCGUAGAUAUAUGGAGGAACACCAGUGGGAAGGCGGUCUCUCUGGUCUGUAACUGACGUGAGGCUCGAAAGCGUGGGGAGCAAACAGGAUUAGAUACCCUGGUAGUCCACGCCGUAACGAUGAGUGCUAAGUGUUGGAGGGUUUCCGCCCUUCAGUGCUGCAGCUAACGCAUUAAGCACUCCGCCUGAGGGAGUACGACCGCAAGGUUGAAACUCAAAGGAAUUGACGGGGGCCCGCACAAGCGGUGGAGCAUGUGGUUUAAUUCGAAGCAACGCGAAGAACCUUACCAGGUCUUGACAUCCUUUGACCACUCUAGAGAUAGAGCUUCCCCUUCGGGGGCAAAGUGCCAGGUGGUGCAUGGUUGUCGUCAGCUCGUGUCGUGAGAUGUUGGGUUAAGUCCCGCAACGAGCGCAACCCUUAUUGUUAGUUGCCAUCAUUCAGUUGGGCACUCUAGCAAGACUGCCGGUGCCAACCCGGAGGAAGGUGGGGAUGACGUCAAAUCAUCAUGCCCCUUAUGACCUGGGCUCCACACGUGCUCCAAUGGGAAGUCCAACGAGUUGCGAAGUCGGGAGGCUAAGCUAAUCUCUUAAAGCUUCUUUCAGUUCGGAUUGCAGGCUGCAACUCGCCUCCAUGAAGCCGGAAUCGCUAGUAAUCGCGGAUCACCACGCCGCGGUGAAUACGUUCCCGGGCCUUGUCCACACCGCCCGUCACACCACGAGAGUGUGUACACACCGCGAAGUGCGGUGAGGUAACAUUAUGAGCCAGCC